Molecule: ribosomal RNA, 389 nt
Filed under: Pyramimonadales sp.
Lineage: Eukaryota; Viridiplantae; Chlorophyta; Pyramimonadophyceae; Pyramimonadales
Description: partial small subunit ribosomal RNA
Rfam family: Eukaryotic small subunit ribosomal RNA
Source: RNAcentral
AUUCCAGCUCCAAUAGCGUAUAUUUAAGUUGUUGCAGUUAAAAAGCUCGUAGUUGGAUUUCGGAUGAAUGCGACCGGUCCGUCGUUACGAUGUGUACUGGUUGCGUCCAUCUUGCCGUCGGGGACGCGCUCCUGGCCUUAAUUGGCUGGGACGCGGAGUCGGCGAAGUUACUUUGAAAAAAUUAGAGUGUUCAAAGCAGGCUUACGCUCUGAAUACAUUAGCAUGGAAUAACGCGAUAGGACUCUGGUCUUAUUGUGUUGGUCUUCGAGACCGGAGUAAUGAUUAAGAGGGACAGUUGGGGGCAUUCGUAUUUCAUUGUCAGAGGUGAAAUUCUUGGAUUUAUGAAAGACGAACUUCUGCGAAAGCAUUUGCCAAGGAUGUUUUCAUCA